GCACUCUUUUGCAGUACAUAUACUAAAAAUGGAGCAAUACAGAGAAAAUCAUAGCCCCUAUGCAAGGAUGACACAAAUUCAUGAAGUGGGGCUGGGAAUGUGG
Molecule: small nuclear RNA, 103 nt
Organism: Perognathus longimembris pacificus (Pacific pocket mouse)
Lineage: Eukaryota; Metazoa; Chordata; Mammalia; Rodentia; Heteromyidae
Source: RefSeq, a predicted model, not a curated record